UUGAAACACUGGUUUCCACAUGAUUCCCAAAGUUAAGCAACAUUAAGCUAGGUCAGUACCUAAAUGGGUGACUGCUUGGGAAUAUCAGGUGCUGUAAG
Molecule: non-coding RNA, 98 nt
Organism: Acanthosepion pharaonis
Lineage: Eukaryota; Metazoa; Mollusca; Cephalopoda; Sepiida; Sepiidae
Source: the annotation of a GenBank genome assembly